UGUUUCGGCAAGGGGGUCAUCCCGACUUACCAACCCGAUGCAAACUGCGAAUACCGGAGAAUGUUAUCACGGGAGACACACGGCGGGUGCUAACGUCCGUCGUGAAGAGGGAAACAACCCAGACCGCCAGCUAAGGUCCCAAAGUCAUGGUUAAGUGGGAAACGAUGUGGGAAGGCCCAGACAGCCAGGAUGUUGGCUUAGAAGCAGCCAUCAUUUAAAGAAAGCGUAAUAGCUCACUGGUCGAGUCGGCCUGCGCGGAAGAUGUAACGGGGCUAAACCAUGCACCGAAGCUGCGGCAGCGACGCUUAUGCGUUGUUGGGUAGGGGAGCGUUCUGUAAGCCUGUGAAGGUGUGCUGUGAGGCAUGCUGGAGGUAUCAGAAGUGCGAAUGCUGACAUAAGUAACGAUAAAGCGGGUGAAAAGCCCGCUCGCCGGAAGACCAAGGGUUCCUGUCCAACGUUAAUCGGGGCAGGGUGAGUCGACCCCUAAGGCGAGGCCGAAAGGCGUAGUCGAUGGGAAACAGGUUAAUAUUCCUGUACUUGGUGUUACUGCGAAGGGGGGACGGAGAAGGCUAUGUUGACCGGGCGACGGUUGUCCCGGUUUAAGCGUGUAGGCUGGUUUUCCAGGCAAAUCCGGAAAAUCAAGGCUGAGGCGUGAUGACGAGGCACUACGGUGCUGAAGCAACAAAUGCCCUGCUUCCAGGAAAAGCCUCUAAGCAUCAGGUAACAUCAAAUCGUACCCCAAACCGACACAGGUGGUCAGGUAGAGAAUACCAAGGCGCUUGAGAGAACUCGGGUGAAGGAACUAGGCAAAAUGGUGCCGUAACUUCGGGAGAAGGCACGCUGAUAUGUAGGUGAAGCGACUUGCUCGUGGAGCUGAAAUCAGUCGAAGAUACCAGCUGGCUGCAACUGUUUAUUAAAAACACAGCACUGUGCAAACACGAAAGUGGACGUAUACGGUGUGACGCCUGCCCGGUGC
This 976-nucleotide ribosomal RNA is filed under the name Escherichia coli. RNAcentral describes it as "partial 23S ribosomal RNA". It matches the Rfam family "Bacterial large subunit ribosomal RNA", at positions 911 to 1869 of the family's 2925-position model. Lineage: Bacteria; Pseudomonadati; Pseudomonadota; Gammaproteobacteria; Enterobacterales; Enterobacteriaceae. The record is from RNAcentral.